RNAcentral lists this ribosomal RNA (239 nucleotides) under uncultured bacterium. RNAcentral's name for it is "partial 16S ribosomal RNA". It matches the Rfam family "Bacterial small subunit ribosomal RNA", at positions 15 to 236 of the family's 1533-position model. The record is from RNAcentral.
GAUCCUGGCUCAGGAUGAACGCUGGCGGCGUGCUUAACACAUGCAAGUCGAACGAAGCACUUAAGACAGAUUCUUCGGAUGAAGUUUUUUGUGACUGAGUGGCGGACGGGUGAGUAACGCGUGGGUAACCUGCCUCAUACAGGGGGAUAACAGUUAGAAAUGACUGCUAAUACCGCAUAAGCGCACAGGGUCGCAUGACCUGGUGUGAAAAACUCCGGUGGUAUGAGAUGGACCCGCGU